CGUAGGACCGGUUUUGUCAACACAAUCCGGAAUGGCCAGCAUGGCGGCGGUCGUACGAUACCUCAGUAGAGGUAAAGCGAGGGGUUGUCUGGACUUGGGAGAGAAACAGCUGUGGCGUAGAAUUUCCUUUUGCAGCAGAGCAAGUCAGCAUCAACGAGGCACAGUCCUGAUGCAUCAUCAAAGGCAUAGUCUUUCCAAGAUGGCUUAUCAGGAAGCUCUUUAUCCUUGUUCUGGAUACAUUCAGGUGCCCAAUAGACAUUUUGCUGCUGCUGUGAAGUCUACAAAGAAAACAAAAAAAGGUACAAAACAAAAGGCAUUAGAUGAGAAUAAAGAAGAGAUAAAAAAAAUAAAGUCAUAUCCCUUUAUGGAAGGUGAACCUGAGGAUGAUGUCUACUUAAAACGCUUGUAUCCAAGGCAGAUAUAUGAGGUGGAGAAAGCUAUUCAAUUACUUAGAGAAUUUCAAAUUCUGGACUUUACUAAUCCAAAACAAGGUGUUUAUAUUGAUUUGACACUGGAUAUGGCACUGGAGAAGAAGAAAAUUGUGGAGCCAUUUGCCAGUGUUGUUAGUUUUCCAUAUCCGUUUGCUUCAGAAAUCAAUAAAGUUGCUGUAUUUACAGAGAAUGCAUCCGAGAUUAAAAUAGCAGAAGAAAACGGAGCUGCAUUUGCAGGAGGAGCUAAUCUGAUUCAGAAGAUUUUAGAUGAUGAAAUUCAAUCGGAGUUUUAUGUAGCUGUUCCAGAAAUAAUGCCUGUGCUUAAUCCAUUAAAGAAGAAAUUGAAAAAAAGAUUUCCAAAGCUUUCGCAGAAAUCCAUUGGCCGUGACAUCCCUAAAAUGCUUGAAUUAUUUAAAACUGGACAUGAAAUUAAGGUAGAUGAAGAAAGGGGGAACUUUCUCGAGACCAAAAUAGGAACAAUAUUUACCCAGGAGAAAUGGAAACAUAUACCCAUACAAACAACUUGUGAGCAAAUGCUUGUAUCAGAUUUAUCUGUAAUAGCAGAAACAUUCCACAUGUCCAUCAACAGCUGGAUAUGUCUAAUGACCAGAUAGCUGCCAAUCUGCAAGUAGUUAUCGAUGAAGUUUGUAAGCAUAGGCCGCUUAAUUUGGGACCCUUUGUGGUACGUGCUUUCCUUCGUAGUUCAACAAGUGAAGGUUUGUUACUGAAGAUUGAACCAUUAUUGCCCAAAGAGUAACAGAGAAGCUUUCUAACAGUGUUGCCUUGUGAAAUUGUCAGAAGAUUAAGAAGCAACAGAAAAAAUUAUAAAAGCAUUUAAUUUCUGCAUUUGGUGUUUUCGUAUUUCUUCAUCAUCAUACUUGAAAGUGAGUUUUAACACUGGAAAACCUCACAACACUUUCAAAAAUAAGAAAAUAAAAUUUUCUCUGUGUCUGAA
Molecule: RNA transcript, 1386 nt
Organism: Manis pentadactyla (Chinese pangolin)
Lineage: Eukaryota; Metazoa; Chordata; Mammalia; Pholidota; Manidae
Gene: MRPL1
Gene name: mitochondrial ribosomal protein L1
Exons: 10
Source: RefSeq, a predicted model, not a curated record